This 283-nucleotide unclassified non-coding RNA is filed under the name uncultured fungus. RNAcentral describes it as "sequence contains 5.8S rRNA gene". The stretch from base 1 to 53 matches the Rfam family "5.8S ribosomal RNA", at positions 102 to 154 of the family's 154-position model. Lineage: Eukaryota; Fungi. The record is from RNAcentral.
GAACGCACCUUGCGCUCCUUGGUAUUCCGAGGAGCAUGCCUGUUUGAGUGUCAUUAAUAUAUAUCAACCUUCUCUUUGUUGAGAGGUUUGGAUGUGGGGGUUUGCUGGCCUUUAUUAAAAGGUUCAGCUCCUCUGAAAUGCAUUAGCAGAACAAACCUGUUCAUUGGUGUGAUAACUAUCUACGCUAUUGAAUGUGAGGGGCAGUUCAGCUUUCUAACCGUCCUCGGACAAAUUCAUCAUUAAUGUGACCUCAAAUCAGGUAGGACUACCCGCUGAACUUAAG